UAAAGAAAUUAAUUCACCUAAGGUUUAGCCCAUGAAGUAUUAGAAGAAAUAAGAUUGUGUGGGUGCACAGGUGGCUUCACUGGGAAGCUAAUGAAGUGUAAGCUACAACAGGGUUCCCCAACCUAUGCUGAGAUCAGAGCACAAUCUCUACAGGAACUUACCGAAGGUUCUAGGAGCUCUGUCUGGAUGGAUAAACUAGGGAGCUGAAUACAAAAGAGACCAGGUGAGUUGCUCUUGAAGCUCACAAAUUCAGAUCCAGCCCAUUCCCAGCCAGCUUCUACCCGCUGAACCCCCAUCCUCUUACCACUGAACUUUAGGGCAUACCUGCAGAUUUUGUUUACAGAAAUGAAUCCCUUCAUUCAACUUGUACUGAUUGAGAGCCUUCCAUAAUAAAAAUAAAUAUUUGUUGAGUUGUACACUGUAUGUCAUAAAUUAUGCUUUAGUGUUUUAUAUGCUUUUAUGAAUUUAAUUCUCCUAGUCACAUUAUGAUGUUUAUAUUAUUAUUUCUCCAUCUUCUAAAGGGAUUCUGAAAGUUAGAAAUUUGCCUGAAUUCUACACAGAAAGUAUCCUGAGGAAAUAGGAUUAAAACCCAUGCAGUCUCACCCUAGAUUCUACAUUCCUAAACACUGAACGUGUGCCCGUCACUGUGCUAGGAGCAGGUCAGGUGGGCAACAAUGAUGACCAAAAGAGUCGUCAUCUCUGUCCUCCUGACUGACACAUGCCUUAAAAUAAUGAUUGACAAUGAUCUCCAGCCACAGGGGGGUGCUUACAACCUUAUUCCCACCCUAAAACCUGCAACUCAGUCCUCCUUGAUCUUUUUGUGAUUGGGCCUUUGUUACUAUUUUCACAUCUGUUCAAAUUUAACUUCCUCAGACAGGCCACUCCAGAUCAUCCAAUAACUUAAGCUCCUAAAUUAUUCAUAGACACAUUUAACACUGUGUGGCAUUUUUCUUGUUUCUUGUAAACAAUCUGGUAUUAUUUUCUCCACAGAGCUUAUUCGAGAGAGAGAGAGAGAGAGAGAGAGAGAGAGAGUGUGUGUGUGUGUGUGUGUGUGUGUGUGUGUGUG
Molecule: non-coding RNA, 1066 nt
Organism: Microcebus murinus (gray mouse lemur)
Lineage: Eukaryota; Metazoa; Chordata; Mammalia; Primates; Cheirogaleidae
Source: RefSeq, a predicted model, not a curated record